Lotus japonicus is the source of this 1471-nucleotide long non-coding RNA. RefSeq lists it as uncharacterized. NCBI's taxonomy places the organism in Eukaryota, Viridiplantae, Streptophyta, Magnoliopsida, Fabales, Fabaceae. The record is from RefSeq and is a predicted model, not a curated record. The transcript is spliced from 5 exons.
CCAUUCACUCAUACUCUCUUAGAAAAACCCUAACACUCAGAAAUUCCUCUCACACUCUCAUGGCCGCAACGCGUUCUCUGCUUCUUGGUACUCCUCUUCACCUUCUCACUCUCUCAAAUCUCACCCACGCUCUUCGACCCUUCUUCCCCGCCACUCCACAUGUCACUUCCGCAACCGUCCUCUUCUCGGCGGAGCUCGAAUCCUUCAAUGCUUUCGCGACGGCGCGGUCUCCUCCUUGGACCUCCGAUGUGCUGGAAUCUCUUCUCUUUCGGAGUCCGACUCGAACUGUGCUUGCUGGAAUUGUGCUUUUAACUGCGCAGCAUCGCUGAAUCCAAACCAGAAACCCUACCAGGCGAAUUUGAAUCAUACCGAACGGAAACCCUAGUCGAAAUCAUUGGAGAGUGAUGGCUUCCCACAUUAGGUUAGCCUUUUGGGAUGGCAAGAGUAGUGCUGAGGAGCUGAAGAAGGUUUCUGCAGACCUUAGGUUAGUCAUUUGGAAGCAUAUGGCUGAGGCUGGAAUCCAGUAUAUUCCAACCAACACCUUCUCAUACUAUGAUCAAGUAUUGGACACAACAACCAUGCUUGGGGCAGUUCCUCCUAGAUAUAGUUGGAACUGUGGGGAGAUUGGCUUUGAUAUAUACUUCUCCAUGGUAAGAGGAAAUGCAUCUAAACCAGCUAUGGAAAUGACCAAGUGGUUUGACACCAACUAUUGACAGAUUCAAGCAAGAAUUUGGCUAGGAGAAGUAGUGCAGAUCAGAUUAGAUGACUAGCAACUCCUUAUUUCAGAACUACUUGCUCAUGGUUUGCAAAAGCAUUGUGUGCUUAUCGUCAAUACCUGGUGCCACUCACAUCGCCUUUCUUCCAUCUCAGGUUUGGGUUGGAACUUGCGGUUUCAUCUCCUCUAUAAGCCUCGACAUCUCAGGAUAGAGGGAGCAAUCUGCUUUGUGUUUCCCUUCUGUGGAUGUGAAGUUGCUUGAAUCCGGAGGUACAUCCCUAUCUGUUUAAGUUUGAAGCUACUGAAGGGUUUGACACAUGUGCUUGUGGGUAAAAUCAUUUUCAGCAACAACCUAUACUGAACUGCUACCAUAUGUUGCUUUAAAACGUUGCUUGCAUGAGUUAAGUAUAAGGAUUCAAGCCUUCAAAGUUUAUUUUAGCUUGAAAUCCUUGUUAUGUUUUAGAUUUAGUACCCUUUCCUUGUUUUGUCAAUUUACUUAUAUAUUGAUGAAUGCUUUAAUUUAAGCCUGAAUAUGCUUUUAAAUUGGGGAUUCAUUUACUGAACUGUUACUUAUUGGUUGCUUAUUGUGUGUUAGAAACAUGAAUGUGCCUGAAAAUAGGAAAUGGAUGGAUAAUAGAUUGGAUUGUGAGAAGCAUGUGACUGAAGAAUUCCUAUAAAUUUAUUAGCGAGGGAAUUAGCGUGGGAAUGUUAAUAAAAAUGUCAAGUGGUUAGCGACGGACACUUCCGUCGCAAAUA